Molecule: unclassified non-coding RNA, 395 nt
Filed under: uncultured Hysterangium
Lineage: Eukaryota; Fungi; Basidiomycota; Agaricomycetes; Hysterangiales; Hysterangiaceae
Description: sequence contains ITS1
Rfam family: 5.8S ribosomal RNA (bases 1-106)
Source: RNAcentral
GAAAGCGCGAAACGUAGUGUGAAUUGCAGAAUUCAGUGAAUCAUCGAAUCUUUGAACGCACCUUGCGCUCCUUGGCAUUCCGAGGAGCAUGCCUGUUUGAGUGUCGUGGAAUAGACCGGUCGGCCUCUCCCUUUGGCCCGGGAGUCGUCGGAUUUUGGACGUUGUCGUUCUUGAAACGGCUCGUCUCGAAAUGCAUUUGGUCCCUUUUUUGUCUCGAGACGAAAACGCGAGCGUGAUAAGAGUUUCAAAAACUCGCUCCGUGCUUGUUGUUGAAAAAGAGACGAGAGUGGGGCUUUUACAGUUGUGUUGUGUGUGUCGGCAGACGUGUCGACCCGCAGGACGACAACAAAAGUGAUCUCGACCUCAAAUCAAGUAGGACUACCCGCUGAAUUUAA